RNAcentral lists this small RNA (452 nucleotides) under Pan troglodytes (chimpanzee). Its description in RNAcentral is "retained intron". The record is from RNAcentral. Lineage: Eukaryota; Metazoa; Chordata; Mammalia; Primates; Hominidae.
AAACAAAGAAAAUGUAGCGUUUCUAUUAAAUCUUUGGAUUAAAUAUGGUUGUGUAAUGAAGUAAAUGUCAUGUGUAUACACUUAACAUUCUAAAAAUUUGUUUCUUUUACUUUAGAAAAUUCAUAGAAAUGGGUUUCAUUGAUGAAAAAAGAAUAGCCAUAUGGGGCUGGUCCUAUGGAGGAUACGUUUCAUCACUGGCCCUUGCAUCUGGAACUGGUCUUUUCAAAUGUGGGAUAGCAGUGGCUCCAGUCUCCAGCUGGGAAUAUUACGCGUCUGUCUACACAGAGAGAUUCAUGGGUCUCCCAACAAAGGAUGAUAAUCUUGAGCACUAUAAAAAUUCAACUGUGAUGGCAAGAGCAGAAUAUUUCAGAAAUGUAGACUAUCUUCUCAUCCACGGAACAGCAGAUGAUAAUGUGCACUUUCAAAACUCAGCACAGAUUGCUAAAGCUCUG